CCUACGGGUGGCAGCAGUGAGGAAUAUUGGUCAAUGGACGAGAGUCUGAACCAGCCAAGUAGCGUGAAGGAUGACUGCCCUAUGGGUUGUAAACUUCUUUUAUAUGGGAAUAAAAUGUUCCACGUGUGGGCUUUUGUAUGUACCAUAUGAAUAAGGAUCGGCUAACUCCGUGCCAGCAGCCGCGGUAAUACGGGGGAUGCAAGCGUUAUCCGGAUUUAUUGGGUUUAAAGGGUGCGUAGGCUGUGAGGUAAGUCAGCGGUGAAAUGCCCCCGCUCAACGGGGUGAAGUGCCAUUGAUACUGGCUUGCUGGAAUGCGGAUGAAGUGGGAGGAAUGUGUGGUGUAGCGGUGAAAUGCAUAGAUAUCACACAGAACACCGAUUGCGAAGGCAGCUCACGAAUCCGCGAUUGACGCUGAUGCACGAAAGCGUGGGUAUCAAACAGGAUUAGAUACCCUUGGAGUC
Molecule: ribosomal RNA, 461 nt
Filed under: uncultured bacterium
Lineage: Bacteria
Description: partial 16S ribosomal RNA
Rfam family: Bacterial small subunit ribosomal RNA
Source: RNAcentral